RNAcentral lists this long non-coding RNA (1850 nucleotides) under Anas platyrhynchos platyrhynchos (common mallard). RNAcentral describes it as "lncRNA (ENSAPLG00000023846.1)". Lineage: Eukaryota; Metazoa; Chordata; Aves; Anseriformes; Anatidae. The record is from RNAcentral.
AUGUAUUCACCAGGGGAGGAGCGGGAUGAAAGCGCUUUUAACCUCCCCGCCAUAAACUUUAAUCGGAUUCCGAGCUGUUGCACGGCAUGGACUCCUCGCCUCUUCUCUGCGUCUCCUUCCCCGUUGUCUCCCAUUUCUACUACGAUCUGCUUUGCGAGAGCCUUUUCCAAGCGAAUGAGUGAUUCCUUUCUCUUGCCAUGUGCAAUCUUUCCCCCCUCCCCUUUCUACCCUCUCUGGCCUCUCUUACACACACUAUGUCUUUCACAUGCGGUCUGUGCCCCCCAGCCCCCUCCCUUUCUUUCUCUUUUGCAGUGUCUUCGCAUGCAAUCUCUCCCUGAAUGUGCAAUGUCUUUCCUGCUCGGGAGUGCUGCGUCCUUCACAGUGGAUUGGUUCCUCUUUCGGAGCAGAGAUCACGGGAAAAGAGAAAAGCAGUCGAAUAUUGUGAUAAUCCUGGGAGCCUGCAGAAGCUGGUUGAUAGGAGACUCCAUGGCUCUUAUUGUGGAUGUACCUAAUUUACUACAGUUCCAAAAAGUUCAUAAAGACAAAAUAAGGAGAAGAAAAAAUUCUGCUUUUUAUCCAAUGUACUAUUCCUGGAAGAAGUUAAUGACUAGACUUGGUAUUAGUACUAUUCUGAAAGUUGUAAGUAAGAAGGAUAACUUCAGAGAUUUUGAUUUCACGACAGUUCCCACAAUAUAUCCCCCUUUUUAAAAGUCAGUUAUUAUUUUACUGAGCUUUAGAAUAUAACUUCUUCCCUCCAGGUUUGAAUUUGUAGUUAAAUUUUUGAAAAAAAGUCAUUGAUUCAAUGAUAUGUGAUAAUGAAGAUAGAUUGUUCAAUUUUAUAGAAUUGAUUAUGAAUUUUACAGAAAGUCUUGUUUAAACAAUUUUCAGCACUUUUGUACAUUUCACUAAGAACCUGAUCUUUUUUCAAGAUGCUACCUUUUGUCUGAAUAUUAAAAUCCACCCAAGUUUGUUCAAGCAAUAGUCCACUGACAUAAAAUUUGUGGGGUAUUCCUAAGUUUUCAGAAAAUAAUUUCCCCAAGGAUUUCAUUCACAUUGGAUCUGGUCUAAAAUGUAAUUGACUAACACCUUCUUGACAGUUUUAGCUCAUAGUCCAGAAAAUAUUCUCUUCAGACAUGUGAUCUCUCUUUGGGACAUGACAAUGUGAACUGAGGAUCUGCCAGGUGUAAACACCUGGAGAAAAGGUCUGAAUAGUAAGAAAAAGAUGAAGAAAGAAAGAUUCUUGUAUUUUCUAAAUAUCAAUGAUGUCAAAAGGAAUUGUGACAUUUAUUAUAAAGUUAUCCCACUCAUGCAUUGUUCAAAUAGCAAAGGCUUAUUCAGCAGAACAAAAUGAUGUUCUUAUGACCAACCAUGACAUCACUAAUAUAGCAUAUGACUAAUAUAUGUAUAUAUUUUGGUUUGUUUUAUUUUUUGACUGAGAAAUGAUAUAGUCAAAAUUAAUGUCCAAACUAAAGACUAUUAUCAAGAACAUCAAGCCAUCUGGACUUGGUCCUGGGCAACUGGCCCUAGGUGGCCCUGUUUGAGCAGUGUGGUUAGACUAGAUGACCUUCAGAGGUCCCUCUCAUCCUCAAUCAUUCUGUGAUUCCGAUUCUCUAACACUAUUAAUAUUGCCAGAUAUUAAUAUUUAUAUUUUAUAUUUAUUUAUAAUUAAUAUUGCAAGUUAGAAAAUAUCAGAACAAUGCUGUCAGCAAACCCUUGAUUCAGACAUCAUUGCACCAUCCAUUACAAUGUUUGAUUGCAAUCUUAUUACAUGUUCAUAUACUCUUUCCCCCAGUGAAUUUCAAUUUUAAAAAAUGAAUAAGUAAAUAAUAAAUAAAUAAAACACAAAGACA